GACGAACGCUGGCGGCGUGCUUAACACAUGCAAGUCGAACGGAAAGGCCCUGCUUUUGUGGGGUGCUCGAGUGGCGAACGGGUGAGUAACACGUGAGUAACCUGCCCUUGACUUUGGGAUAACUUCAGGAAACUGGGGCUAAUACCGGAUAGGAGCUCCUGCUGCAUGGUGGGGGUUGGAAAGUUUCGGCGGUUGGGGAUGGACUCGCGGCUUAUCAGCUUGUUGGUGGGGUAGUGGCUUACCAAGGCUUUGACGGGUAGCCGGCCUGAGAGGGUGACCGGCCACAUUGGGACUGAGAUACGGAGCAGACUCCUACGGGAGGCAGCGGGGGGGAGUGUUGCACAGUGGGGGGAAGCCUGAUGCAGCAACGCCGCGUGCGGGAUGCCGGGCUACGGGUUGUAAACCACUUUCGCCUGUGACGAAGCGUGAGUGACGGUAAUGGGUAAGAAAGCACCGGCUAACUACGUG
Molecule: ribosomal RNA, 468 nt
Filed under: uncultured bacterium
Lineage: Bacteria
Description: partial 16S ribosomal RNA
Rfam family: Bacterial small subunit ribosomal RNA
Source: RNAcentral